GUGAAACUGUGUUUUUAUCUCCGUUUAUUCGGGAUUUAAGUAAAUCGCGUGUUAAAAGAUAGGACUUAUGACAAAGUGGUGGGGUGCGCGACUUCCACGUUUCAGUUAACGGUUAACGACCGCGGUCGUUGGCCUACGUCACGCGAGCGGGCAUCCGGUCGAAUAUACUAGAAUAUUCGAAUAUUCAAAUUUUCGGCAAAAAUCGGUUUUCGUGGAAGACUGGACUUAAGUCGGUCGGGCGGCACAAAAAUCGAUGUUACAUAUCCACGUACGUGCAACGAGACCGUGAGUACUUAGAAAUUAUUUUCAUAAUUUUAGGUAAAGUCGUUUCCAAAAUAUUAAGGUUUUAAUCCCAAAAAACGAGCAUACAGGUACCAGGGUACCAGGAGAAAAUCGUUCUUUUUCGACAUACACAUCUGACGUCAUACUCGACACACGCGCGCUUACGAAUUAUUUCUCGUGACGUAUACUGUGUUCGGUUUGUUUACGUUUUGUACUUUGAAUAAUUUUUCGAUUUUUCACUGUGACGUCACGGAAGCGUAAAAGUG
This is a non-coding RNA of Cinara cedri, 548 nucleotides long. NCBI's taxonomy places the organism in Eukaryota, Metazoa, Arthropoda, Insecta, Hemiptera, Aphididae. The record is from the annotation of a GenBank genome assembly.